RNAcentral lists this ribosomal RNA (301 nucleotides) under uncultured bacterium. RNAcentral describes it as "partial 16S ribosomal RNA". It matches the Rfam family "Bacterial small subunit ribosomal RNA", at positions 509 to 807 of the family's 1533-position model. The record is from RNAcentral.
CAGUAGCCACGGUAAUACGUAGGGUGCGAGCGUUGUCCGGAAUUACUGGGCGUAAAGAGCUCGUAGGCGGUUUGUCACGUCGUCUGUGAAAUCCUAGGGCUUAACCCUGGACGUGCAGGCGAUACGGGCUGACUUGAGUACUACAGGGGAGACUGGAAUUUCUGGUGUAGCGGUGGAAUGCACAGAUAUCAGGAAGAACACCGAUGGCGAAGGCAGGUCUCUGGGUAGUAACUGACGCUGAGGAGCGAAAGCAUGGGUAGCGAACAGGAUUAGAUACCCGUGUAGUCCCUGUCUCUUAUAC